AUUGAACGCUGGCGGCAGGCCUAACACAUGCAAGUCGAGCGGAGCGGCGGACGGGUGAGUAAUACCUAUGAAUCUGCCAGAUAGUGGGGGAUAAGGUUCGGAACCGGACGCUAAUACUGCUUACUAUCGGAUGCGCAUAGGUCGGAUUAGCUAGUUGGUGAGGUAAUGGCUCACCAAGGCCACGAUCCGUAACUGGUCUGAGAGGAUGAUCAGUCACACUGGAACUGAGACACGGUCCAGACUCCUACGGGAGGCAGCAGUGGGGAAUAUUGGACAAUGGGCGAAAGCCUGAUCCAGCCAUGCCGCGUGUGUGAAGAAGGUCUUCGGAUUGUAAAGCACUUUAAGUUGGGAGGCGUUACCGACAGAAUAAGCACCGGCUAACUCUGUGCCAGCAGCCGCGGUAAUAC
This 407-nucleotide ribosomal RNA is filed under the name uncultured bacterium. Its description in RNAcentral is "partial 16S ribosomal RNA". It matches the Rfam family "Bacterial small subunit ribosomal RNA", at positions 30 to 526 of the family's 1533-position model. The record is from RNAcentral.